RNAcentral lists this long non-coding RNA (594 nucleotides) under Mytilus galloprovincialis (Mediterranean mussel). The record is from RNAcentral. Lineage: Eukaryota; Metazoa; Mollusca; Bivalvia; Mytilida; Mytilidae.
CCCCGCCGCAAGUGGAUAAUAUUAAUAGUGUAAAAAUAUGCAAGUGUUCGGUAAACAGGAAGUUGUCGAGUGAUGAAUUUGAAAACGCAUCACACGGUAUAGCUGACUUAUAAAAAUCCUGAAACCAAAUUUCAGAAAUCCUUGUAUUGUAGUUCCUGAGAAAAAUGUGACGAAAAUUUUUAACUUGGUUAUCAUGUGUAAAAUCAUACAAGUGUUCGGUAAACAGGAAGUAGUCGAGUGAUGAAUCUGAAAACGCAUCACACGGUAUAGCUGACUUAUAUAAAUCCUGAAACCAAAUUUCAGAAAUCCUUGUAUUGUAGUUCCUGAGAAAAAUGUGACGAAAAUUUUCAACUUGGCUAUCAUGUGUAAAAUCAUACAAGUGUUUGGUAAACAGGAAGUUGUCGAGUGAUGAAUCUGAAAACGCAUCACACGGUAUAGCUGACUUAUAUAAAUCCUGAAACCAAAUUUCAAGAAAUCCUUGUAUUGUAGUUCCUGAGAAAAAUGUGACGAAAAUUUUCAACUUGGCUAUCAUGUGUAAAAUCAGACAAGUGUUCGGUAAACAGGAAGUUGUCAAGUGAUGAAUCUGAAAACGCA